Non-coding RNA from Delphinapterus leucas (beluga whale), 354 nucleotides. NCBI's taxonomy places the organism in Eukaryota, Metazoa, Chordata, Mammalia, Artiodactyla, Monodontidae. The record is from RefSeq and is a predicted model, not a curated record.
GGGAUCUUCCCAGACCGGGGCACGAACCCGUGUCUCCUGCAUUGUUCUUUUCUAGAUGUGAGUAGAUGCAAGAAUUGGAGCUCAUAAGAUCUUCUCCUGAAAAUAUCUAACUAUAUGAAGACCUGUUUUGCCAGUUUUUCCCAGAUCAGAGUGCCGCAUUCCUGAUCUCCACCCUGACCUCCUUUCAGGGGGUGUUGAAGUGUACAUUGUGCAUCUGUACUACACAUUAACUAGGUUCCCUUAGAAGACACAGGAAUGCCUACUUGCCAAAAAGAAAAAAAAAAGCAAUUUCCUCCUGGCAUCAGCAAGGCUCCGGACGCGCAGGCUCAGCGGCCAUGGCUCACGGGCCCAGCC